CAGCCGCCGCGUUAAUACGUAGGGUGCGAGCUUUAAUCGGAUUUACUGGUCGUAAAGCGUGCGCAGGCGGCCCGUUAAGACAGGUGUGAAAUCCCUGGGCUCAACCUAGGAAUUGCGCUUGUGACUGGCGGGCUCGAGUACGGUAGAGGGGGGUGGAAUUCCUGGUGUAGCAGUGAAAUGCGUAGAGAUCAGGAGGAACACCGAUGGCGAAGGCAGCCCCCUGGGCCUGUACUGACGCUCAUGCACGAAAGCGUGGGGAGCAAACAGGAUUAGAUACCCUGGUAGUCCACGCCCUAAACGAUGGGUACUAGCCGUUUGGUGCGCGAUAGCGCUGAGUGGCGAAGCUAACGCGUGAAGUACCCCGCCUGGGGAGUACGGCCGCAAGGUUGAAACUUAAAGGAAUUGGCGGG
This 410-nucleotide ribosomal RNA is filed under the name uncultured microorganism. RNAcentral's name for it is "bacterial SSU rRNA". It matches the Rfam family "Bacterial small subunit ribosomal RNA", at positions 509 to 917 of the family's 1533-position model. The record is from RNAcentral.